Molecule: non-coding RNA, 653 nt
Organism: Paramisgurnus dabryanus
Lineage: Eukaryota; Metazoa; Chordata; Actinopteri; Cypriniformes; Cobitidae
Source: RefSeq, a predicted model, not a curated record
UAUGGAUGGACAUUUAAACUUUGCUAAAACAACAAAGCUGGUGAUAGUGUCCCAAGACUUUUGCACAGUAAUGUAUAUUGACCAAGAGUUGUAAUGAUCAAAACAAAUGCAUGUCGUCUAUUAUUUUCUUUAAAUGCACAUUUAUUCACAGUUCAGUAGGACAGUAAAUUAUCUGAAAGUGAAAUCAUUAUUGAAGGUGAUAUCAUUGUCACUGCAUUCAUUGUUACAUGAUUUUAAACAGUGGGAAUCAUUGUGUAAGUUUCUUAAUAAUAUCAAAUACUACUUUUUUGUCUUGUUGUUUCUAGACCUGAGGAUAAGAUUUCCAGUUUGAAAGUGAAGAAAAUGAAUCAUUAUUAACAGCAAUUAGUAGUUUUUCAGCUGAGAAGCCAGGUGAAACUAUAAGGACACUAUGAUUUACUUUCAUAUUAUCAUUCUUUUAUAGAUGAGGAGCAACCAGUAAGAAAAAGCAAAAAGAUGUUUUGAUGUUGCCUGAGGCACCUUAUUCACACCAGUCAAUUUCUUCCAAUAAUGAAUCAAGAAAUCCUGGAGUGGAGAAUCAUUCUGAAAGUAGACCAAAUACAGGACAACACCACAGCAGUGGUUGGAAAAAUGCAGCAGACAAUGAGCAAACCAAGCUGACUUUCAAAAGAUGG